This 491-nucleotide ribosomal RNA is filed under the name uncultured bacterium. RNAcentral's name for it is "bacterial SSU rRNA". It matches the Rfam family "Bacterial small subunit ribosomal RNA", at positions 28 to 506 of the family's 1533-position model. The record is from RNAcentral.
GAUGAACGCUGGCGGCGUGCCUCAAACAUGCAAGUCGAGCGAGGCUAUGAAUUACCGCAAGGUAAGGCAUAGCCUAGCGGCGAACGGGUGAGUAACACGUAGGUAAUCUGCCCAUCAGACGGGGACAACGAUUGGAAACGAUCGCUAAUACCGGAUAGGACGAAAGUUUAAAGAUGCUCCUGGCAUCACUGAUGGAUGAGCCUGCGGCGCAUUAGCUAGUUGGUGGGGUAAAGGCCUACCAAGGCGACGAUGCGUAGCCGACCUGAGAGGGUGAACGGCCACACUGGGACUGAGACACGGCCCAGACUCCUACGGGAGGCAGCAGUAGGGAAUCUUCGGCAAUGGGCGAAAGCCUGACCGAGCAACGCCGCGUGAAUGAAGAAGGCCUCGGUGUAAAUUACUGUUAUAAGGAAGAAAGGUAGAGUAGGAGGAAAGUAGACUAUACAAUUAGACGGUACCGUUAUAGUAGAAAGACCACGGACUAACUACGU